Long non-coding RNA from Mauremys reevesii (Reeves's turtle), 299 nucleotides. RefSeq lists it as uncharacterized. The record is from RefSeq and is a predicted model, not a curated record. The transcript is spliced from 3 exons. Lineage: Eukaryota; Metazoa; Chordata; Testudines; Geoemydidae.
ACCAGGGAAAGGGAGGGCAGGUGGGGACUCACUUUGGGCUGUGAAACACAAUGGCUGUGCUGUGGACAUUGCAGAACCUCAUGUUUUGUUUUAAAAAAACGAACACGGGCUGGUGUCUGCUGCUGUGAAGAUAACAUGGUGAGGCUUUCCAUAUUGUGGCGCCAAGGAAGGAGAUUUUCGGGGCUUGUUAGAUUGAUUCCCUGCUAGGAGCAGAAAUUGGUAACGCAGAAUCAGUGCUGUUGAUACCAGACUGAUGCCGACUGUCACUUCCCCCACUGCUCUCGCUGUGAAUAGACGAG